CCCCCCCAAAAAAAAAAGAGAAAAAGAAAAGAAACAGAGAAAAAAGGAAGGGAGAUGGGUAGGAAGGAGGAGAGAGGAAAACAAUGUUUAGGGAGAAAAACUAGAUCUUUACUCUCUACCCUCUAAUAGGAAGACUUCUGGCAUGUAAACCUCGCUUUGCUAAAAAGUUUAAUUUUCUGUAUCAUACAGACAGAAAUGCUUACAUUCUAGUGACUUCCAGUAAUAACCAGUGUGUCUGGGGCUGAUUAUUCUCUGCAGUACCUCAGGGUGUAGCUGAAACUUGGCUUCUGUCCACCGGGCCCAGUUAAGUCUCAGAAAUAAGACUUGGGUGAAGCAGAAAGAACAGCUUUAUUGCUCUGCCAGGCAAAGGAGGCCACAGCAGGCUAAGCAUUCAAAACUGUGUCCUCCCUUGAUCUGGGAUAGCAAGGGGUUUAUAGGUUUAGCUUGAACAAACAGGGCUGUUGAUAAGGAUUAGGAGGCUUGCAUUCUUCUCCCUCCAUAGAUCACUUCCAAGUCGUCAAGGCCAGAGUCAGGGGGUCGGUGGCCGUUUCUGGUGGUCUUGGGGUGAUCGCCCCUUGACCUCAUCUCUGCAGUGAUGAUUGCUCACAAAAGGAAGGGGGGGGGGAUUCGGGCAUGUUUCAAAGGAAAAGAAAAUCUAACACUAACUAGAAAGUAAUCAUUAGUAAAAGAAAGCAAUCAAGCAAGGAAGAAAUCAUUUGUGAAAAGCCAGUUAGAGUAAGUCCGUAGGCCAAGGCAGGGCAUAACAUCAUGGAGACUGUUUUAACUAGCUUUUCGCUCUCACGGCAACGCCAGAUCCUUAACCCAUUGAGCAAGGCCAGGGAUCGAACCUGUGUCCUCAUGGAUACUAGUCAGAUUCGUUUCUGCUGAGCCACGAUGGGAGCUCCUUGCCUUGCUAUUCUGAUGAACCUUGGUGAACCCCCGAAAGGAAAGAGAAAUGGAGGGAGAGAGGGGGAGGGAUUGUCGUUGAGCCACAUGUGUCCGCUACCCACAUGCUUGUGUGUGUGGUUCUAGAAUGCUGAUCUCAGUCAAGGUUGUCUUUGCACUUAUUGAGGUCCUCACCAUGCUGUGUCUUUCACCAUUUGGGGGUUUCUUUCAAUGUCUAAUACUUUCUUCUCAUUCAGUGUUUCCUCCUGGGUUUCUUGCCUGGUGACCUACACUCCCUGCGAGGCAGCAGCGGCCCUUUUGCCUUGCUUUUGUGCCUUGAGCAGAGAGUUGCUCUAAGCAGCUGGUUCCCCGUCCUCUUUUCUGGCCCCACUGAGCAGAGUGAUGGGACCAAGAAUGGGAGGGAGUGAGGUGGUGCCCAGAGGCUGUGAGUCCAGAGACCUCGGACUCUAACCCAGCCUAAACCCAGAUUGGGACCUGAGCCCAUGGUGUUUUUGUUUAUUUAUUUAUUUUUAUUUUUCAUUUUUUAAUAUUACUCAAUGAAUUUAUUACAUUUAUAGCUGUACAAUGAUUAUCAUGACCCAAGUUUAUAGCAUUUCCAUCCCAAACCUCCACCAUGGUGUUUUUCAUUAGAAUUACUCACCUGGUGUCUGGACUUACUGAGGUUCAGGUUCUUUGUGUCUUACCGCAGAAGGAAUUCAGUGAGAGACAAAGUGAUAGGGAAGAAAUAGAUUUGUUAAGAUAGGAUGCUUGGGGAGUUCGCGCUGUGGCUCAGUGGUAACAAACCUGACUAGUAUCCAUGAGGAUGCCAGUUUGAUCCCUGGACUCACUCAGUGGUGUAGGUUGCAGAUGAAGAUCAGAUCUCGAGUUGCUGUGGCUGUGGUGUAGGCCAGCAGCUGCGGCUCCAAUUUGAUCCCUAGCCUGGGAACGUCCCUAUGCCACGGGUACAGUCUUUAAAAAAAAAAAAAAAGAUAAUGAUUGACCUAUGGUGUUUAAAGAAUUGGGUUCUUGGAGUUUCCUGGUGGUUUGGGCAGGUUAGGGAUCUGUCAUUGUCACUGCUGUGGCUCAGGACGAUCCCCGGCUUGGGAACUGGCAUAUGCUGUGAGUGUGGCCAAAAAAAAAAAAGCAAUUGGGUUCUCUCAGAAUAUUAAUAUGCUUGUUAGUUUUCUAGGGCUGUCAAACCGCAUGACAUAGGGAAACAGAAAUGUGUUCUCCCAUAGUUCUGAGACAUCUGAAAUCAAGUGUUGGCAGGCCCAUCCGUCUUCCCCCUGAAGGUUCCAGGGGAGAAUCCUUCCUUUGCCUCUUCCAGUUCCGGAGCUCCUGGUAGACCUUGGUGUUCCCUGGCUUGUACCUGCCUCCCUCUGCCUUUGCCUCCAUCGCUGUCUGGCCGGUGUGUCUGUGUGACCUCUCCUCUCCUGAUGGGGACAUCAGCCACUGGGGCCACCCUACCCCAUCAUGACUUCAUCCUAAUAUAAUUACACCUGCAAAGACCUUAUUUCCAAAUAUAGUCUUGUUCUGAGAUUAUGGGUGGACAGUUUGAGGAGACAUUAUUCAACUCAUUGCAUUUUUUAUCAAAAGUUCGGAAAAUUGAGUAGUAAAAGUAUAGCACAGCUCCCCCCCAACCUCCUGCCCCUAGUUGGGUUCUUCCUCUAAGCAAUUUAGCUGUACUUGGUGGAAAGAAAGGUGAGACCUUGCAAAUUUCAUUUCACAUUGCACACGGAACCUAUUGAUACAGAGGGCUGACUGUACCUAUGUUUUUCUAAAGUCUUUCAUAUGGUUCCAGGUGGUGCCAUGGACUGAAUGUUCAUGUCCCCUAAAAUUCCUAUGUUGGAAACAAAUCCCCUUUGUGAUGGUAUUUAGAGGUGUGGCCUUUGGGAAGUAAGUCAUAAGGGUGGGAACCCUCACCAGUGGGAUUAGUGCCCUUACAGUCACGGUCACAAGACCCUGUGGCUCUCUCCCCAUCAGAGAACCUUCUGAGGGUGGGGAAAGAGGGCCCUCCCUUUCACUGGGGAGAUGGAUAAACCAAAGGGUGACCUUGUUUUCAAGCUCUGGAGCAUAGUUAGUGGUGAGUUUGUCUUCCACAGGCUGAAUCAAGGUCAAGGGAAGUGGAAAGGGCUGUGGAGAGGCUCCGGUUGGGGGGGGUGUUGGUCAGGGGCAGCCCCCAGGCAGGGGCCUGAGCAGUGACUACCAGCAGAUCUCUGGAUGGGCUGACAGGGCUGGGGGACAGCAGACAGCCAAGCUUCCUUGACUCCUUUUUAGACCACUGUAAACUCCCAAAGGCUACUUCCCUCCUUCUUUGCUGAGUUUCAGGAACUCAUUUGGGUUGGUUGGGGGGCAGUUGCCAUGGUGAUGCUAUCUCUAGACCCCAGCAUGAAACCACAUCCCUAAAGAAUUUCAUCCCAUGAGAGCAAAACACAGAUUCACUGGAAAGGGUGGUCCAAAAGGUAGUGGCGUUUAGCAAUGGAGCAGCUACUUUGUUUUAAUGAGCUUGAGUUCACCUCAUCUGUGAGAUGCGAAAGGUAAUGCCUGCCUGGCAGGAUCACUUGAGAUGUCAGAUGACACAAUAAAGAGAUGAAUUCAGGAGUUCCUGUUGUGGCACAGCGGAAACGAAUCCUCCUAGUAUCCAUGAGGAUGUGGGUUCAAUCCCUGACCUUGCUCAGUGAGUCGGGGAUCUGGUGUAGCCAUGAGCUGUGGUGUAGGUUGCAGACACAGCUCAGAUCCUCUGUUUCUGUGGCUAUGGUGUAGACCAGCAGGUGCAGUUCUGAUUCGAUCCUUAGACUGGGAACUUCCAUAUGCUGUGGAUGCGGUC
This 3712-nucleotide long non-coding RNA is filed under the name Sus scrofa (pig). RNAcentral's name for it is "lncRNA (ENSSSCG00045001428.1)". The record is from RNAcentral. Lineage: Eukaryota; Metazoa; Chordata; Mammalia; Artiodactyla; Suidae.